AACGAACGCUGGCGGCAUGCCUAACACAUGCCAGUCGAACGAGACCUUCGGGUCUAGUGGCGCACGGGUGCGUAACGCGUGGGAAUCUGCCCUUCGGUUGGGAAUAACUGAGAGAAAUUUCAGCUAAUACCUUAUAAUGUCUUCGGACCAAAGAUUUAUCGCCGAGGGAUGAGCCCGCGUAGGAUUAGGUAGUUGGUGGGGUAAUGGCCUACCAAGCCGACGAUCCUUAGCUGGUCUGAGAGGAUGAUCAGCCACACUGGGACUGAGACACGGCCCAGACUCCUACGGGAGGCAGCAGUGGGGAAUAUUGGACAAUGGGCGAAAGCCUGAUCCAGCAAUGCCGCGUGAGUGAUGAAGGCCUUAGGGUUGUAAAGCUCUUUUACCCGGGAUGAUAAUGACAGUACCGGGAGAAUAAGCGCCGGCUAACUCCGUG
This 433-nucleotide ribosomal RNA is filed under the name uncultured bacterium. RNAcentral describes it as "partial 16S ribosomal RNA". It matches the Rfam family "Bacterial small subunit ribosomal RNA", at positions 29 to 507 of the family's 1533-position model. The record is from RNAcentral.